This 21-nucleotide non-coding RNA is filed under the name Caenorhabditis elegans. Lineage: Eukaryota; Metazoa; Nematoda; Chromadorea; Rhabditida; Rhabditidae. The record is from RNAcentral.
UAUGACUUUGAUAGCUUUCAA